CUGACAAUAACGGAUAACUGUUAACCCACAGACUCGGCGUCUACGUUUCGGACGGGGAUGCAUGGUAGGGUAGCAUUUUGGUUCGACUCCCCACAAAGGCACAGUGUGUGAAGCCUAUUUCCGGUGUCCCCAACUUGAUAUUUCUAAAAGCGGCGUAAAUCCAUACUCACUCACUUAUUCACUACACUACGGAUGUGUUUUUGCGUUACCAUAUCGCUUCCGUAAAAGUGACUAUGACGCUUGCAUUUACAUGUAUGUGUUUAGUUCUUUAACGCCACGCACUCAACGAAAUUCUGGAGGCUAAGGGGCGGCAGUGUCGCCAGAAACGUGAUUGCUUGGAAGCUACUGAAAAGGUGAAGAACUAUUUAUCAGGUUCGUGGCCAAAUACGGAACAUUUUGGUCCCUCACUUUACGAAACAAAGACGGUUUUCGGGGUUGCCUUCUGUAGAGGAAUCCACAGAACGGGAAAUACAAACCAAGUGGACAAGCUGUUAGGGAGCGUGACUAUGGGUAUAGGUAGUGAAAAGCUUCGAACAUGUCUUGCUCUCGGUCCAACCGCUUCCCGCUUGUCAGUCGUCACCACUCGCCCCUUUCCGUAUAACCUCUGUCCCGGAAUAACACGAGUUGGUCACGAAUGUCUCUUGCCUGUUUCUUUUGACAACAACGCGUGCGCGACUAUUUAUUUUUAUAAUAGUCGAACUUAGGUACUUUCAACGAAAUCAUUCAUAAUUGGACAAUCAAGCAUAGUCAUACUUCACAACAA
This is a long non-coding RNA of Haliotis rubra (blacklip abalone), 763 nucleotides long. RefSeq lists it as uncharacterized. The record is from RefSeq and is a predicted model, not a curated record. The transcript is spliced from 2 exons. NCBI's taxonomy places the organism in Eukaryota, Metazoa, Mollusca, Gastropoda, Lepetellida, Haliotidae.